This 426-nucleotide ribosomal RNA is filed under the name uncultured bacterium. RNAcentral's name for it is "bacterial SSU rRNA". It matches the Rfam family "Bacterial small subunit ribosomal RNA", at positions 356 to 773 of the family's 1533-position model. The record is from RNAcentral.
GGGGAAUAUUGGACAAUGGGGGAAACCCUGAUCCAGCCAUGCCGCGUGUGUGAAGAAGGCCUUCGGGUUGUAAAGCACUUUAAUUUGGGAGGAAGGGCUUACGGUUAAUAACCGCUAAGUUUUGACGUUACCAAAAGAAUAAGCACCGGCUAACUUCGUGCCAGCAGCCGCGGUAAUACGAAGGGUGCGAGCGUUAAUCGGAAUUACUGGGCGUAAAGCGCGCGUAGGUGGUUCAUUAAGUUAGGAGUGAAAGCCUCGGGCUCAACCUGGGAAUUGCUUCUAAAACUGGUGAGCUAGAGUACGGUAGAGGGUGGUGGAAUUUCCUGUGUAGCGGUGAAAUGCGUAGAUAUAGGAAGGAACAUCAGUGGCGAAGGCGACCACCUGGACUGAUACUGACACUGAGGUGCGAAAGCGUGGGGAGCAAAC